GACGAACGCUGGCGGCGUGCUUAACACAUGCAAGUCGAACGGAAAGGCCCUGCGUUUGUUGGGUGCUCGAGUGGCGAACGGGUGAGUAACACGUGAGUAACCUGCCCUUGUCUUUGGGAUAACUUCAGGAAACUGGGGCUAAUACCGGAUAGGAUCUCCUGCUGCAUGUUGGGGGUUGGAAAGUUUCGGCGGUUUGGGAUGGACUCGCGGGUUAUCAGCUUGUUGGUGGGGUAGUGGCUUACCAAGCCUUUGACGGGUAGCCGGCCUGAGAGGGUGACCGGCCACAAUGGGACUGAGAUACGGCCCAGACUCCUACGGGAGGCAGCAGGGGGAAAUAUUGCGCAAUGGGCGGAAGCCUGAUGCAGCAACGCCGCGUGCGGGAUGACGGCCUUCGGGUGGUAAACCGAUUUCGACUGUGACGAAGAGGGAGUGACGGUAAUGGGUAAAGAAGCACCGGCUAACUACGUG
RNAcentral lists this ribosomal RNA (468 nucleotides) under uncultured bacterium. RNAcentral describes it as "partial 16S ribosomal RNA". It matches the Rfam family "Bacterial small subunit ribosomal RNA", at positions 28 to 507 of the family's 1533-position model. The record is from RNAcentral.